Molecule: long non-coding RNA, 429 nt
Filed under: Eucalyptus grandis
Lineage: Eukaryota; Viridiplantae; Streptophyta; Magnoliopsida; Myrtales; Myrtaceae
Description: long non-coding RNA (EGRA_LNC005890)
Source: RNAcentral
CCGGGGUGUCCGGCCUUGGCAUUCUGGACCGAAUCCACGAUCAGCAUCCUCACAUUGUCCACGCAUCGCUUGUCGACCAAGUUCUGGAACGACUCAUCCUCCAAUUCCUCCAGUUUGUCCCAAUUCAGAUUGGGAAUCUCUCUCUGGUAAGCCUUCUUGAGCUCCUCUUUCCAUGAGAGCUUGUCGUCUCUGGACAGAGAAGAGCGUUGAGCAGCUGGUUUACAAUCUUGGGUCUUGAGCGAGCUGCAAGCGAUGGAUUUAGCAGAUAACUUGCUCCUUCUGUAGGAACAAAAAGAUGGGUAUUGGUUAUGGAGGAGCGACGAGAUCGCCAUGGACGAAAGCUGGUUCCCUUAUCUCGGAUCGUAGCUAAAGCAGAGGAAGUAACCGACAGACGUUGGGUUGGAAUAACCAUGGAAUUGCAGAUGAAGG